RNAcentral lists this ribosomal RNA (253 nucleotides) under uncultured bacterium. RNAcentral's name for it is "partial 16S ribosomal RNA". It matches the Rfam family "Bacterial small subunit ribosomal RNA", at positions 524 to 776 of the family's 1533-position model. The record is from RNAcentral.
UACGAAGGGGGCUAGCGUUGUUCGGAAUUACUGGGCGUAAAGCGCACGCAGGCGGUCUGUUAAAUUAGAAGUGAAAGCCUUGGGCUUAACCUGAGAAUUGCUUUUAAGACUGGCAGACUAGAAUCCAGAAGAGGGUAGUGGAAUUCCGAGUGUAGAGGUGAAAUUCGUAGAUAUUCGGAAGAACACCAGUGGCGAAGGCGACUACCUGGUCUGGCAUUGACGCUCAUGUGCGAAAGCGUGGGGAGCAAACAGG